Molecule: ribosomal RNA, 498 nt
Filed under: uncultured bacterium
Lineage: Bacteria
Description: partial 16S ribosomal RNA
Rfam family: Bacterial small subunit ribosomal RNA
Source: RNAcentral
UAGGGAAUCUUCCACAAUGGACGCAAGUCUGAUGGAGCAACGCCGCGUGAGUGAAGAAGGUCUUCGGAUCGUAAAGCUCUGUUGUUGGUGAAGAAGGAUAGAGGCAGUAACUGGUCUUUAUUUGACGGUAAUCAACCAGAAAGUCACGGCUAACUACGUGCCAGCAGCCGCGGUAAUACGUAGGUGGCAAGCGUUGUCCGGAUUUAUUGGGCGUAAAGCGAGCGCAGGCGGAAUGAUAAGUCUGAUGUGAAAGCCCACGGCUCAACCGUGGAACUGCAUCGGAAACUGUCAUUCUUGAGUGCAGAAGAGGAGAGUGGAACUCCAUGUGUAGCGGUGGAAUGCGUAGAUAUAUGGAAGAACACCAGUGGCGAAGGCGGCUCUCUGGUCUGCAACUGACGCUGAGGCUCGAAAGCAUGGGUAGCGAACAGGAUUAGAUACCCUGGUAGUCCAUGCCGUAAACGAUGAGCGCUAGGUGUUGGGGACUUUCCGGUCCUCAGU